This is a long non-coding RNA of Rhodamnia argentea, 890 nucleotides long. RefSeq lists it as uncharacterized. The transcript has 3 exons. The record is from RefSeq and is a predicted model, not a curated record. Lineage: Eukaryota; Viridiplantae; Streptophyta; Magnoliopsida; Myrtales; Myrtaceae.
AUCGCCGAAGGGGAAAUUCGUCGGAGCAGGGCAAGAUCUGUGAUCACAUUGGAACAAUCUGAUUCAAUAAGAACGGGCGCCGGCAGCUGCUGUUCAAAACAGAAGCGAAUUGCAUCUCUGCAUGCUAUGGCUUCAAUCUGCUCGGGUUCAGAGGCAUUGGCGAAGUUGGCAAAUCCCCCAACACAACAGCCUUGAUCAUUGCGAAUAAUGCCAGCGAUGGCGCCAGUAGAGUCUCCAGGAAAAAGGGAUCCGUCAACAUUGAUUUUCAGAGUACCUGCUGGGGGAGGUGUCCACCGAAAAGAUGCUGUGCUGAUGACGCGCCAAGGAUCGGGACGUUGCCGCCGGAAUAUAAAACUGUUACGGGCCUUCCAGAGGUGCCACAAAGUCUGAGCCACCAUUGGCGGGGACGGGCCCUGAUGAUGGAGGUCAGCUUGCCAACAUUGAACACAGCAAGAAUAAGUGCUCAAGGGUUUCCGGUUGGCGUAGGCAAAGAGAGCAUCGCGAGUCAGGUAAAAUCUUACGCUUGCAUAAGUUAACUGCAGUAGGUAACGCGUUUUGACAGAUGCGCCAUAAGAAAUGUUUGAUUCUGGGGGCACUGCAAGUCUCCAUAUAUGCUGCCAUAGUGAGGGGGGGCACUGGUAGGAUGAAGAUGGGUUAGUUGUCGGCUGUAUAGGGGUGGCAGCACGAAUCUUUGUAUAAGCUGUUUUCACAGAAUAAGUUCCUUGAGUAGAUAGCGGCCAGACUAAACGGUCAUUAGGGCGAAGUGGAUUGAGUGGAACUGCUAGAAUCUCUCGGACAAUUUGUGAUAAGAAAAAUGUACUAGCCAAGGAUUCAUUCCAUUGGGUGGAUGAUGUGAUGAGAUCUGCAACCCAGUGAGGUUCACCCACUUG